UGCGUAGGUGGUUUGUUAAGUCUGUCGUGAAAGCCCUGGGCUCAACCUGGGAACUGCGGUGGAAACUGGCUAACUAGAAUGUGGUAGAGGGUAGCGGAAUUCCUGGUGUAGCAGUGAAAUGCGUAGAUAUCAGGAGGAACAUCCAUGGCGAAGGCAGCUACCUGGGCCAACAUUGACACUGAGGCACGAAAGCGUGGGAGCAAACA
This 206-nucleotide ribosomal RNA is filed under the name uncultured bacterium. RNAcentral's name for it is "partial 16S ribosomal RNA". It matches the Rfam family "Bacterial small subunit ribosomal RNA", at positions 568 to 774 of the family's 1533-position model. The record is from RNAcentral.